Molecule: long non-coding RNA, 1223 nt
Organism: Panicum virgatum (switchgrass)
Lineage: Eukaryota; Viridiplantae; Streptophyta; Magnoliopsida; Poales; Poaceae
Exons: 2
Source: RefSeq, a predicted model, not a curated record
GUUACCAAUAUGAACACUUGGAAGUUCAUCAUCAUCGUCUAAAGUACUAGUAACUAGCGAGAUGGCCCGUGCAAAUAGCGUGGGUAGCUAGGUCUAUGCUAAUAUUUCAAUCUCGAGGUUUUGCCGGCUUAGUCUUCGAGGAUACUCAUAGGGGUUGGGUUUGCGUACGUGUAUUCAUAGGGGUGUGAGUGUGCGUGCGUUAUGAGUGUCUUAGUUGUACUGUGUAAUCUCAAAAAAUAAAUAAAUUAUUUUUUACUCUAAAAUAAAUUUAUGUAAAAAAUUUUGUUUAGUUGUGUCGUUGUAAUUUUUUUUCUAAUAUGCCAGAUCAACGCAUUGUCCAUGCUUUAUCCAUCAUAUUUUUAUUAUUUAUGAGGUGUAUUCAUGUGUAAUAUGAAUUCAUGAGUAAAGAUAUUUUCUUAUAUAGAUAAUAUUUUUAUUAUUUAUUAAAAGUAAUAUAUAAAUUGAAGCCUUUUCAUAUAUUAUUUAUAUAUAGUUAAUCUUUUAAUUUUUGAUUGUGGUGUACUUUUUUGUUUGACAGUUCGAAGUGACAGAUAUUCUUGAAUAUUUUUUUUGAAGAAACUCUAUUUGAGUGAUGUAAUGUAUUCUACUAUAGAUCAUUGGAUAAUAAGUUUUGAAGUUUGAAUUCAAAUCUUAAUAGGUCGUAGAGGCUGCAUCCCCUUUAUUAAUUCUGAUCAUGCCAAAUCUCCCUUUCUUUCUUUGUUCUACAAUCUCCAAAUACUUCAUCUUCAUGCAUACUACAUUUAUCUCCCUGCUGCUGCAUCUUUUCCGGGUCAACAAAUUCACUAUUGUGCAAGCAAUUCAAGUUAUAGCUUCUCUCUGUGCUCAUCAAAUGCCCUGUUGACUUCUAAUCUCAAGGAGCCCUGCCCACGACACCAUGAUUAACGUGGGAAUUUCUAGACUCUCUCGGCGAACGUGGUGGCUUCUUUUAACACUGUCAAGCCUCCUGGCAAGCUUCACGACACUUGCCCAAGCAUCAUUAUGAGCCCCUUUGGAUGUCGGUUCCUCUGGUAGCCUUCAUGACGAGCUUCACGAUAGUGAUGACAGUGUUUUGCAGCUUAUUUGUGGAUUCAUCCAGGUUUGCGCUUCUGUGAUGUGUGGAGGUGUUCAUGUGUGUCUGGCCAUUUGACCGGGUAUGUAAUUGGCUCCUCUUUGAGGUGCCUUAAUAUAAGACCGCGGCUUCUAUAAUAUAUGUUAUAGGUUUA